RNAcentral lists this ribosomal RNA (252 nucleotides) under uncultured bacterium. Its description in RNAcentral is "partial 16S ribosomal RNA". It matches the Rfam family "Bacterial small subunit ribosomal RNA", at positions 524 to 776 of the family's 1533-position model. The record is from RNAcentral.
UACGGAGGGUGCAAGCGUUGUCCGGAUUUAUUGGGCGUAAAGCGAGCGCAGGUGGUUUCUUAAGUCUGAUGUAAAAGGCAGUGGCUCAACCAUUGUGUGCAUUGGAAACUGGGAGACUUGAGUGCAGGAGAGGAGAGUGGAAUUCCAUGUGUAGCGGUGAAAUGCGUAGAUAUAUGGAGGAACACCGGAGGCGAAAGCGGCUCUCUGGCCUGUAACUGACACUGAGGCUCGAAAGCGUGGGGAGCAAACAGG